AUGGAUGAAUUGAAGAGUUUUCUCAAGCAGGCAGGAAAAGAAUUCCUAAAUGUGGCCGGUGAUGCAGCAGUGGGUGCGGCAAAAGAAGUUGUCGGCUCGGUCAUCAACGAAAUAUUUAUUAAAAAAGAGGCUGAUACCAAACGUGUUCUUCCAAGCAUUAAAAAUAUGCGUGUGCUUGGCGAAAAGGGCAGCGGUACACGGGUGCAAGCAGACAUCCAAGACUUUGAGUCCAUCCGGAGCAUGUGCCUAGCAAACGGCUCCUUAUUUGAGGAUCCGCUGUUUCCAGCCAACAACGAGUCUCUUCUGUUUUCACAACGACCCGAUCGACACAUUGAAUGGAUGAGACCGCAUGAGAUCGCUGAUGAUCCACAAUUCUUCGUGGAGGGCUAUUCGCGUUUCGAUGUGCAACAAGGCGAAUUGGGCGACUGUUGGUUGCUCGCCGCCACUGCCAAUCUAACGCAGGAUCCAAAUCUAUUCUUUCGCGUUGUGCCACCAGAUCAAAGNUUCGAGGAAAGUUACGCUGGUAUUUUUCACUUUUGCUUUUGGCAGUAUGGUAAAUGGAUUGAUGUGGUGGUCGACGAUCGUCUGCCGACAUAUCGNGGCGAAUUGAUGUAUAUGCAUUCCACUGAGAAGAACGAGUUUUGGAGUGCACUGUUGGAGAAAGCCUAUGCCAAAUUACAUGGCUCAUAUGAAGCACUAAAGGGCGGCACCACUUGUGAGGGUAUGGAAGAUUUUACCGGCGGUGUAACGGAAUGGUAUGACCUUAAAGAGGCACCGCCAAAUCUAUUCAACAUUUUACAUAAAGCUGUCGAUCGUAACUCCUUAAUGGGUUGCUCCUUAGAGCCCGAUCCGAAUGUUUUGGAGGCUGAGACGCCACAAGGGCUGAUACGUGGCCACGCAUACUCGAUAACGAAAGUUUGUUUACUCGAUAUUGCUGUACCCAAUCGGCAAGGUAAAAUACCAAUGAUACGUAUGCGUAAUCCCUGGGGUAAUGAGGCCGAAUGGAAUGGUCCGUGGAGUGAUAGUUCACCCGAAUGGCGUUAUAUACCCGAAGAUCAGAAACAGGAAAUCGGUUUAACAUUUGAUCGUGAUGGUGAAUUUUGGAUGUCAUUUCAAGAUUUCCUCAAUCAUUUCGAUCGUGUUGAAAUCUGUAAUUUAUCACCUGAUUCACUUACCGAGGAGCAGCAAAAUAGCGGUAAACGACGUUGGGAAAUGUCUAUGUUUGAGGGUGAAUGGACGCAAGGUGUAACAGCUGGUGGUUGUCGUAACUUUUUAGACACCUUUUGGCAUAAUCCACAGUAUGUAAUAACACUAGCCGAUCCGGAUGAAGAUGAUGACGAUGGNAAGUGUACGGUUAUUGUAGCGCUGAUGCAAAAGAAUCGUCGUUCCAAGCGUAAUAUGGGCAUGGAAUGUUUGACAAUCGGUUUUGCCAUUUAUCAUCUAAGCGAAGAUGACUUACACACCCGACCACAGGGUGUGAAUUUCUUUAAAUAUCGUGCAUCCGUUGGACGUUCGCCACAUUUCAUUAAUACCCGUGAGGUUUGUGCACGUUUUAAGCUACCACCUGGUCAUUACUUAAUUGUACCAUCAACCUUUGAUCCAAAUGAGGAAGGUGAAUUCGUUAUUCGUGUUUUCUCGGAAACUCAGAAUAACAUGGAAUCCUUCCAAUACUACUAAUACACCAGAGAGAAUGACGACCAUGUUGGAUAUGGAAGCCCGACUGAUGAUAAGGUGUUGCCAAAUCUUCCAAACCCAAUGGAUCCCAGACCGAACGAAGGACAUAA
Molecule: unclassified non-coding RNA, 1784 nt
Filed under: Bactrocera latifrons
Lineage: Eukaryota; Metazoa; Arthropoda; Insecta; Diptera; Tephritidae
Description: calpain-A, transcript variant X4
Source: RNAcentral